Long non-coding RNA from Trichechus manatus latirostris (Florida manatee), 531 nucleotides. RefSeq lists it as uncharacterized. The transcript is spliced from 3 exons. Lineage: Eukaryota; Metazoa; Chordata; Mammalia; Sirenia; Trichechidae. The record is from RefSeq and is a predicted model, not a curated record.
AGUGAUUAUCAACCCUAACAAAGCUAUCUGGAGCUUUUUAAAACUCCAAUCAAUCAUUAUCUCCCUUUCGUCUAAGGAAAACUAAUGAGAAGGAAAUGAGAAAUGAAAAGAUUGUUACAAUAGGUUAGAAAUUAUCAGCGUUGGAAAGUGCCCUUGAAGAUCUCUAAAUCUAAUCUGCUACAAAUUUGGGAUUCUCCUUCAGGAUGUUCCUGAUAGAUGUUACAGUGAUUGACUUUAUUUAACUACUUUCAGCUAAUGGCUUUAGAGUUUCUCUGCUAUUGGUUGGGUUUAGGAUCACAGUUCCUUGUGAAGAUAUGGAAAGUAGAAACACUCUGAAUGUGAUAUUUACAAGGUAAGAAUUCAGUGCCUUAUUUAAGGCUUGGGACACUUAGGGUUUCAAAACUGCCCUAUCUGGAAUGGUGUUUUAUACCAUGGAAUAUCAUGGAAGGAAGUGGCAAAGCCCUUGUGCUUAAUUAGCAUCACAAUCUUUCUCUCUCCCCUUUGGUUUAAAGGUUGCCAUGAUAAUAGGAA